GACGAACGCUGGCGGCGUGCUUAACACAUGCCAGUCGAACGGAAAGGCCCUGCUUUUGUGGGGUGCUCGAGUGGCGAACGGGUGAGUAACACGUGAGUAACCUGCCCUUGACUUUGGGAUAACUUCAGGAAACUGGGGCUAAUACCGGAUAGGAGCUCCUGCUGCAUGGUGGGGGUUGGAAAGUUUCGGCGGUUGGGGAUGGACUCGCGGCUUAUCAGCUUGUUGGUGGGGUAGUGGCUUACCAAGGCUUUGACGGGUAGCCGGCCUGAGAGGGUGACCGGCCACAUUGGGACUGAGAUACGGCCCAGACUGCUACGGGAGGCAGCAGUGGGGAAUAUUGCACAAUGGGCGGAAGCCUGAAGAAGCAACGCCGCGUGCGGGAUGACUGCAUUCGGGUUAUAAACCGCUUUCGCCUGUGACGAAGCGUGAGUGACGGUAAUGGGUAAAGAAGCACCGGCUAACUACGUG
RNAcentral lists this ribosomal RNA (468 nucleotides) under uncultured bacterium. RNAcentral's name for it is "partial 16S ribosomal RNA". It matches the Rfam family "Bacterial small subunit ribosomal RNA", at positions 28 to 507 of the family's 1533-position model. The record is from RNAcentral.